GUGAUUUUCUUCAGGGGGCGGCGUUUCCUUUGCCAGGCGGUUCUUCUCACGGCCAAAUCGAAUUUCAAGAUCAAUGACUUCGUCACAGCAGCAUAACACUGAAUUUGUUUCCCUCCCAAAGAAAGGAAAAGAAGAAAAAGGUUGUGGAGCCAUUAGAAUGAGUAAAGGUGUUCGAGCAAGGAAUAAGGGGCUCAAAUUUCAAGUUAAUUGGAAUAAGUGAAACGGAGCUUGCCACAAAGUUGAAAAUGAACACAAAAUGGCUAAAAAUACUAUGUCCUUGCCAAGAAUAUUACAUAGAUUGUGGAUAUUAUGUGAUGAGAUUCAUGAAGGAGAUAAUCUCACACAAGCGACUUCAAAUUCCCGAAGUUUACUUUUCAGAUUGUCAGUUUCCAAGUUAUGACAAAGAGCAGAUUGGAGAAGUAAGAACCGAACGGGUGCCCCAUGUUGUUCAACAAUUGUAUAAUUGCUAGGUUUUGUUGAAGGAACCAACAAACCUAAGCCUCUACUGAUUAAUGUAUUUUACGUAGUUUUAUGUUUAGAGUUUUAGUUUAGAUCUAUGUAAUUGGUUUUAUUAGGGUGACA
Molecule: long non-coding RNA, 582 nt
Organism: Spinacia oleracea (spinach)
Lineage: Eukaryota; Viridiplantae; Streptophyta; Magnoliopsida; Caryophyllales; Amaranthaceae
Exons: 4
Source: RefSeq, a predicted model, not a curated record